AUACGUAGGGUGCGAGCGUUGUCCGGAAUUACUGGGCGUAAAGAGCUCGUAGGUGGUUUGUCGCGUCGUCUGUGAAAUUCCGGGGCUUAACUCCGGGCGUGCAGGCGAUACGGGCAUAACUUGAGUACUGCAGGGGAGACUGGAAUUCCUGGUGUAGCGGUGAAAUGCGCAGAUAUCAGGAGGAACACCGGUGGCGAAGGCGGGUCUCUGGGCAGUAACUGACGCUGAGGAGCGAAAGCAUGGGUAGCGAACAGGAUUAGAUACCCUGGUAGUCCAUGCCGUAAACGGUGGGCGCUAGGUGUAGGGGUCUUCCACGACUUCUGUGCCGUAGCUAACGCAUUAAGCGCCCCGCCUGGGGAGUACGGCCGCAAGGCUAAAACUCAAAUGAAUUGACGGGG
Molecule: ribosomal RNA, 398 nt
Filed under: uncultured bacterium
Lineage: Bacteria
Description: partial 16S ribosomal RNA
Rfam family: Bacterial small subunit ribosomal RNA
Source: RNAcentral